UACGGGGGGAGCAAGCGUUGUUCGGAAUUAUUGGGCGUAAAGAGCUCGUAGGCGGUUUGUCGCGUCUGCUGUGAAAACUCGGGGCUUAACUCCGGGCCUGCAGUGGGUACGGGCAGACUAGAGUGCGGUAGGGGAGACUGGAAUUCCUGGUGUAGCGGUGAAAUGCGUAGAGAUCCGGAGGAACACCAGAGGCGAAGGCGGCCUACUGGGCUGCACCUGACGCUGAGCCGCGAAAGCCAGGGGAGCGAACGGG
RNAcentral lists this ribosomal RNA (253 nucleotides) under uncultured bacterium. Its description in RNAcentral is "partial 16S ribosomal RNA". It matches the Rfam family "Bacterial small subunit ribosomal RNA", at positions 524 to 776 of the family's 1533-position model. The record is from RNAcentral.